Molecule: ribosomal RNA, 514 nt
Filed under: human intestinal firmicute CO10
Lineage: Bacteria
Description: bacterial SSU rRNA
Rfam family: Bacterial small subunit ribosomal RNA
Source: RNAcentral
AGAGUUUGAUCCUGGCUCAGGAUGAACGCUGGCGGCGUGCUUAACACAUGCAAGUCGAGCGAAGCAGUUAAGUUGAUUUCUUCGGAUUGAUUCUUAACUGACUGAGCGGCGGACGGGUGAGUAACGCGUGGGUGACCUGCCCCAUACCGGGGGAUAACAGCUGGAAACGGCUGCUAAUACCGCAUAAGCGCACAGAGCUGCAUGGCUCGGUGUGAAAAACUCCGGUGGUAUGGGAAUGGGCCCGCGUCUGAUUAGGCAGUUGGCGGGGUAACGGCCCACCAAACCGACGAUCAGUAGCCGGCCUGAGAGGGCGACCGGCCACAUUGGGACUGAGACACGGCCCAAACUCCUACGGGAGGCAGCAGUGGGGAAUAUUGCACAAUGGGGGAAACCCUGAUGCAGCGACGCCGCGUGAGCGAAGAAGUAUUUCGGUAUGUAAAGCUCUAUCAGCAGGGAAGAUAAUGACGGUACCUGACUAAGAAGCCCCGGCUAACUACGUGCCAGCAGCCGCGGU